AUACCUCCUAUCAGAUAGACCAGAAUUCCCCAUGCUACAAGGAGACAAAGCAGGUACAGUUACUAUAGCAACAGUCUCAUCUCUGCGAAUUCCCAAAUGUGGGAAUCUCAACUGCAUAAUUUAUGGUAGUGGGGGACUGCGUUCGCGCUCUCCCCUG
Molecule: small nuclear RNA, 157 nt
Filed under: Seriola lalandi dorsalis
Lineage: Eukaryota; Metazoa; Chordata; Actinopteri; Carangiformes; Carangidae
Description: U1 spliceosomal RNA (ENSSLDG00000000628.1)
Rfam family: U1 spliceosomal RNA
About the family: U1 is a small nuclear RNA (snRNA) component of the spliceosome (involved in pre-mRNA splicing). Its 5' end forms complementary base pairs with the 5' splice junction, thus defining the 5' donor site of an intron.
Source: RNAcentral